Molecule: long non-coding RNA, 1151 nt
Filed under: Homo sapiens (human)
Lineage: Eukaryota; Metazoa; Chordata; Mammalia; Primates; Hominidae
Description: HSALNT0308609
Source: RNAcentral
UGGAGUCUGAUGACCAAGGGCAGGAAGCAUCCAGCACGGGACAAAGAAGAAAGCCAGAAGACUCAGCAAGCCAGCUCAUCUCACUUUCUUCUGCCUACUUUGUUGUAGCUGAGCUGGCAGCCAGUUGGAUGGUGCACACUCACAUUGAGGAUUGGGAGGCUGCUGUGUAUGGAUAAGAUACCUGCUACAGCCAGCUUGACACCAUGAGAAGGACAAGAGAAUUGCAGAGACACAUAUCCAGGAUUCUGAUCCAGUUGAGGCACUGAAAUAAUCUAGAACCACCUUCAAAUUUCUUAUAAAGAGAGCUAUGCUAUUAGGAUUUAAUUAAAUGGAUGCCAACAGCAAGUAAACCAUCUCCAAAGAUGCCAUGAAGCUCUCCUAAUUGCAGGAAAAUAUCAGAGGCACUUGAUUUGAGUCUUUCAAGUACGGAAAUAACAAAUUCAGUCUCAACAGACCUAUAGUGAAUGAGAAUGAUUGUCACAUAAUGUGUAGAGAAAAUGGAAGAAUCAAAGGCAAGGGAAACCUGUACAGUGGAGACACAAAGGGUCACUGGCAGAUUUCAAAUGAUCCAAGACAUCCUCAAGGAAGAUUUACCACAAGUUACUUUAUCAUAGCUUUGAGUGGCAUUUUAAUAUCAUAUUUUAAAAGAAAGAAAACAAUAGAAAUGUAUUAAAAUAUCUUCUCAAGAAUCCUUCCAAACCACAAGGAAAAUCACCAGGCCAAAAGUGAGGUUUGAAGUCUGGACAUGUACUGGUUUUCUCUAGCAAUCGACUCUCAAUUUUUGGACAUUGAGAUCUGCUGGUUGGAGAUCUUAGUGCCCAAGGAAGAAUGCUUGCAAAAGGAGAUGGAACAGUGUUUCUGUUGCAUUGGCCACUGAGAAUAUCUGGUUAUUUUGAAUUUGUCACAGUCUGCAGCUAAAAGGCGAACAGGAAAAGAAGAGCAGGAAUUCACUGAAUGUCUAUCUAUCAUGUAUGCUGUUGGAGGCACCUGUCUUUCAGUUCAGAGGUUAUGGAUGUAUCUAUCAUCAGUAUUUCGGGAAGUCAGGGACCCGGAACAGAGGGACUUAAUGAAGCUGUGGCAGAAGAAAAAAUUAUGAAGAUUUCAUGGACAUUUAUUAGUUCCCCAAAUUAAUACUUUUAUAAUUUCUUACA